GACGAACGCUGGCGGCGUGCCUAACACAUGCAAGUCGAGCGAUGAAACCCUUCGGGGUGGAUUAGCGGCGGACGGGUGAGUAACACGUGGGUAACCUGCCUCAAAGGGGGGAAUAGCCUCCCGAAAGGGAGAUUAAUACCGCAUAAUAUGUUUUGAUCGCAUGAUCUUGACAUCAAAGGAGUAAUCCGCUUUGAGAUGGACCCGCGGCGCAUUAGCUAGUUAGUGAGGUAACGGCUCACCAAGGCGACGAUGCGUAGCCGACCUGAGAGGGUGAUCGGCCACAUUGGAACUGAGACACGGUCCAGACUCCUACGGGAGGCAGCAGUGGGGAAUACUGCGCAAUGGGGGAAACCCUGACGCAGCAACGCCGCGUGAAUGAUGAAGGCCUUCGGGUUGUAAAGUUCUGUCUUCUGGGACGAUAAUGACGGUACCAGAGGAGGAAGCCACGGCUAACUACGUGCCAGCAGCCGCAGUAAUACGUAGGUGGCAAGCGUUGUCCGGAUUUACUGGGCGUAAAGGAUGCGUAGGCGGACAUUUAAGUCAGAUGUGAAAUACCCGAGCUUAACUUGGGUGCUGCAUUUGAAACUGGGUGUCUAGAGUGCAUGAGAGGUAAGUGGAAUUCCUAGUGUAGCGGUGAAAUGCGUA
Molecule: ribosomal RNA, 645 nt
Filed under: uncultured bacterium
Lineage: Bacteria
Description: bacterial SSU rRNA
Rfam family: Bacterial small subunit ribosomal RNA
Source: RNAcentral